UUCGCCCUUAGAGUUUGAUCCUGGCUCAGGAUGAACGCUGGCGGCGUGCUUAACACAUGCAAGUCGAACGAAGCACUUUUAUUUGAUUUCUUCGGAAUGAAGAUUUUAGUGACUGAGUGGCGGACGGGUGAGUAACGCGUGGGUAACCUGCCUCAUACAGGGGGAUAACAGUUAGAAAUGACUGCUAAUACCGCAUAAGACCACAGCACCGCAUGGUGCAGGGGUAAAAACUCCGGUGGUAUGAGAUGGACCCGCGUCUGAUUAGGUAGUUGGUGGGGUAACGGCCUACCAAGCCGACGAUCAGUAGCCGACCUGAGAGGUUGAACGGCCACAUUGGGACUGAGACACGGCCCAGACUCCUACGGGAGGCAGCAGUGGGGGGUAUUGCACAAUGGGGGAAACCCUGAUGCAGCGACGCCGCGUGGAGGAAGAAGGUUUUCGGAUUGUAAACUCUUGUCGUUAGGGACGAUAAUGACGGUACCUAACAAGAAAGCACCGGCUAACUACGUGCCAGCAGCCGCGGUAAAACGUAGGGUGCAAGCGUUGUCCGGAAUUACUGGGUGUAAAGGGAGCGCAGGCGGGAAGACAAGUUGGAAGUGAAAACCAUGGGCUCAACCCAUGAAUUGCUUUCAAAACUGUUUUUCUUGAGUAGUGCAGAGGUAGAUGGAAUUCCCGGUGUAGCGGUGGAAUGCGUAGAUAUCGGGAGGAACACCAGUGGCGAAGGCGGUCUACUGGGCACCAACUGACGCUGAGGCUCGAAAGCAUGGGUAGCAAACAGGAUUAGAUACCCUGGUAGUCCAUGCCGUAAACGAUGAUUACUAGGUGUUGGGGGAUUGACCCCCUCAGUGCCGCAGUUAACACAAUAAGUAAUCCACCUGGGGAGUACGACCGCAAGGUUGAAACUCAAAGGAAUUGACGGGGGCCCGCACAAGCAGUGGAGUAUGUGGUUUAAUUCGAAGCAACGCGAAGAACCUUACCAGGUCUUGACAUCCGAUGCAUAGCACAGAGAUGUGUGAAAUCCUUCGGGACAUCGAGACAGGUGGUGCAUGGUUGUCGUCAGCUCGUGUCGUGAGAUGUUGGGUUAAGUCCCGCAACGAGCGCAACCCUUAUUGCCAGUUACUACGUUAAGAGGACUCUGGCGAGACUGCCGUUGACAAAACGGAGGAAGGUGGGGAUGACGUCAAAUCAUCAUGCCCUUUAUGACCUGGGCUACACACGUACUACAAUGGCGUUAAACAAAGAGAAGCAAGACCGCGAGGUGGAGCAAAACUCAAAAACAACGUCUCAGUUCAGAUUGCAGGCUGCAACUCGCCUGCAUGAAGUCGGAAUUGCUAGUAAUCGCGGAUCAGCAUGCCGCGGUGAAUACGUUCCCGGGCCUUGCACUCACCGCCCGUCA
This 1396-nucleotide ribosomal RNA is filed under the name uncultured bacterium. RNAcentral's name for it is "16S ribosomal RNA". It matches the Rfam family "Bacterial small subunit ribosomal RNA". The record is from RNAcentral.